UACGAAGGGGGCGAGCGUUGUUCGGAAUUACUGGGCGUAAAGGGCGCGUAGGCGGUCGUGACAAGUCACUUGUGAAAUCUCCGGGCUUAACUCGGAACGGUCAAGUGAUACUGUCGGACUAGAGUACAGAAGGGGCAACUGGAAUUCUCGGUGUAGCGGUGAAAUGCGUAGAUAUCGAGAGGAACACCUGCGGCGAAGGCGGGUUGCUGGGCUGAUACUGACGCUGAGGCGCGAAAGCCAGGGGAGCGAACGGG
This 254-nucleotide ribosomal RNA is filed under the name uncultured bacterium. RNAcentral's name for it is "partial 16S ribosomal RNA". It matches the Rfam family "Bacterial small subunit ribosomal RNA", at positions 524 to 776 of the family's 1533-position model. The record is from RNAcentral.